Podarcis lilfordi (Lilford's wall lizard) is the source of this 73-nucleotide non-coding RNA. The record is from the annotation of a GenBank genome assembly. NCBI's taxonomy places the organism in Eukaryota, Metazoa, Chordata, Lepidosauria, Squamata, Lacertidae.
GCUGGGAUAGCUCAGUUGGUAGAGCAUGAGAUUCUUAACCCCAGGGUCAUGGGUUCACGCCCCACAUUGGGCA